AGGGAGCGUAGGCGGCUGAUUAAGUCAGCGGUGAAAGGUAGCAGCUUAACUGUUUUACAUGCCGUUGAUACUGGUUAGCUUGAGUUGACAGAAGGCAGAUAGAAUUCCUGGUGUAGCGGUGAAAUGCUUAGAUACCAGGAGGAAUACCGAUUGCGAAGGCAGUCUGCUGCAGUCACACUGACGCUGAGGCUCGAAGGUGCGGGGAUCAAACAGGAUUAGAUACCCCUUGU
RNAcentral lists this ribosomal RNA (230 nucleotides) under uncultured bacterium. RNAcentral's name for it is "partial 16S ribosomal RNA". It matches the Rfam family "Bacterial small subunit ribosomal RNA", at positions 564 to 791 of the family's 1533-position model. The record is from RNAcentral.